RNAcentral lists this ribosomal RNA (1039 nucleotides) under Ischnocnema aff. guentheri UFMG_13906. RNAcentral's name for it is "partial large subunit ribosomal RNA". It matches the Rfam family "Bacterial large subunit ribosomal RNA", at positions 917 to 2597 of the family's 2925-position model. The record is from RNAcentral. Lineage: Eukaryota; Metazoa; Chordata; Amphibia; Anura; Brachycephalidae. RNAcentral also lists the same sequence under 1 other name.
ACCCAGGAAAAGAAUUUUAGUCCAACCUAAAGUUAACCAAUAAGGAAUAUUACCACUUUAGAGUAAUUCAAAUAAGGGACAGCCUAUUUGAUACAGGGCACAACCUCGAACAAUGGCUAACUCAUAACAUAUUUAAACUAAGUUGACUUAAAAGCAGCCACCUUAGAAAAGCGUCAAAGCCUAAUUUUACUUAUAUUAAAUCCAACGAUUUUCAAAGAACCCUUCAUCCGUACUGAGUACUUCUAUACCCCCUAUAGAAAUUUUUAUGUUAAAACUAGUAACAAGAAGACACUUCUCUUUUAAUGCGAGCAUAAAUCAGAACGGACCACUCCACUGAUUCUUAUACACCACGACAGCAAACCCACACCCUCGAAAAGCCUGUCUUUAUUAACGUUAACCUAACACAAGAGCAUUACAAGAAAGAUUUUUUAAAAAAGAAGGAACUCGGCAAAUAUUGAUUCCGCCUGUUUACCAAAAACAUCGCCUCUUGAUUAACUAUAAGAGGUCCAACCUGCCCAGUGACAUCAAUUCAACGGCCGCGGUAUAUUGACCGUGCUAAGGUAGCACAAUCACUUGUCUCUUAAAUGGGGACUAGUAUGAAAGGACCCACGAGAAUCUAACUGUCUCCUUUUUUUAAUCCGUGAAACUAAUCUCCCCGUGAAAAAGCAGGGAUCAUUAUAUAAGACGAGAAGACCCUAUGGAGCUUCAGAUAAAGCAAUACUUUCUUUUUAUUUCACUUUCAGUAGACAUACUAUAAAAGCACUUUAUUGCCAAUCUUCGGUUGGGGCGACCGCGGAGUAAAAUAAAACCUCCACGCUGAAUGGAAAACCCCCCACAACAAAGAACUACAGUUCUAUAAACCAAAAAAUUGACAAUUGACCCAAUAUUUGAUCAACGAAACAAGUUACCCUAGGGAUAACAGCGCAAUCUACUUCAAGAGUUCAUAUUGACAAGUGGGUUUACGACCUCGAUGUUGGAUCAGGGUGUCCCAGUGGUGCAACCGCUACUAAAGGUUUGUGUGUUCAACAAUUAAAACCCU